AGAGUUUGAUCCUGGCUCAGGACGAACGCUGGCGGCGUGCCUAACACAUGCAAGUCGAACGAGUUGAGGAGCUUGCUCCUUAACUUAGUGGCGGACGGGUGAGUAACGCGUGAGUAACCUCCUCUGAGAGGGGAAUAACGUUCUGAAAAGAACGCUAAUACCGCAUGACACAUAUUUGCCCAUGACAGAUAUGUCAAAGAUUUUAUCGCUCAGAGAUGGACUCGCGUCCGAUUAGUUAGUGGUGAGGUAACGGCUCACCAAGACCGCGAUCGGUAGCCGGACUGAGAGGUUGAACGGCCAAUUGGGACUGAGACACGGCCCAGACUCCUACGGGAGGCAGCAGUGGGGGAUAUUGCGCAAGGGGGCAACCCUGACGCAGCAACGCCGCGUGAAGGAUGAAGGUUUUCGGAUUGUAAACUUUUUUCUCAGGGACGAAAUUUGACGGUACCUGAGGAAUAAGCUCCGGCUAACUACGUGCCACAGCCGCGGUAAUACGUAGGGAGCAAGCGUUGUCCGGAUUUACUGGGUGUAAAGGGUGCGAGGCGGCUUUGUAAGUCAGAUGUGAAAUCUAUGGGCUCAACCCAUAAACUGCAUUUGAAAUACAGAGCUUGAGUGAAGUAGAGGCAGGCGGAAUUCCCUGUGUAGCGGUGAAAUGCGUAGGAUAGGGAGGAACACCAGUGGCGAAGGCGGCCUGCUGGGCUUUAACUGACGCUGAGGCACAAAGCGUGGGUAGCAAACAGGAUUAGAUACCCUGGUAGUCCACGCUGUAACGAUGAUUACAGGUGUGGGGGACUGACCCCUUCCGUGCCGGAGUUAACACAAUAAGUAAUCCACCUGGGG
Molecule: ribosomal RNA, 840 nt
Filed under: uncultured bacterium
Lineage: Bacteria
Description: bacterial SSU rRNA
Rfam family: Bacterial small subunit ribosomal RNA
Source: RNAcentral